Rhizophagus clarus is the source of this 75-nucleotide non-coding RNA. The record is from the annotation of a GenBank genome assembly. Lineage: Eukaryota; Fungi; Glomeromycota; Glomeromycetes; Glomerales; Glomeraceae.
GCCCGGCUAGCUCAAUCGGUAGAGCGUGAGACUCUUACUAAUCUCAAGGUUGGGGGUUCGAUCCCCCCGUUGGGC